AUAAGUGCACCUAUGCAUAAGAACAUGUCAUUGUUUGCUGAGCCACAGGUGUUAUGCACUGUUAGCUGGUGUGAAAACUCCAGGAGUGUGACUUCACUGGCUGUGGGGACAGCAUUGCCAGCAAUGUUAGCGAGGAAGGCCACUUAUUCCAGAGGUGCUGGCACAUUCAGGCAUACUUGCCUUGUCCAGGUUCAGACUCUCCUCCAAGAAGCUAUCAACAUCUUCCAGGUUGCUUAUAAGAAAAUGCUGAAAUGGAAGGCAACAUGAACUAAGACUCCGGACAUCAUUAGGAAUAUCUUGCCUUCUGCUUGGAUAAUUAUGGGAUUUAGCCCAUAAAAACAAUACAACAAUUCUGGCCUUCUUCACAAUAUCAAAAGAAAAGGAACAGAAUGAAAAAUCC
Pogona vitticeps (central bearded dragon) is the source of this 400-nucleotide non-coding RNA. Lineage: Eukaryota; Metazoa; Chordata; Lepidosauria; Squamata; Agamidae. The record is from RefSeq and is a predicted model, not a curated record.